GAACGCUGGCGGCGUGCUUAACACAUGCAAGUCGAGCGGAAAGGCCCUUCGGGGUACUCGAGCGGCGAACGGGUGAGUAACACGUGAGUAACCUGCCCUAGGCUUUGGGAUAACCCUCGGAAACGGGGGCUAAUACCGGAUAUGACUACCGGCCGCAUGGUUGGUGGUGGAAAGUUUUUCGGCCUGGGAUGGGCUCGCGGCCUAUCAGCUUGUUGGUGGGGUGAUGGCCUACCAAGGCGACGACGGGUAGCCGGCCUGAGAGGGCGACCGGCCACACUGGGACUGAGACACGGCCCAGACUCCUACGGGAGGCAGCAGUGGGGAAUAUUGCACAAUGGGCGGAAGCCUGAUGCAGCGACGCCGCGUGAGGGAUGACGGCCUUCGGGUUGUAAACCUCUUUCAGCAGGGACGAAGCGUAAGUGACGGUACCUGCAGAAGAAGCGCCGGCCAACUACGUGCCAGCAGCCGCGGUAAGACGUAGGGCGCGAGCGUUGUCCGGAUUUAUUGGGCGUAAAGAGCUCGUAGGCGGC
RNAcentral lists this ribosomal RNA (530 nucleotides) under Micromonospora pattaloongensis. RNAcentral's name for it is "bacterial SSU rRNA". It matches the Rfam family "Bacterial small subunit ribosomal RNA", at positions 31 to 579 of the family's 1533-position model. Lineage: Bacteria; Bacillati; Actinomycetota; Actinomycetes; Micromonosporales; Micromonosporaceae. The record is from RNAcentral.